AGAACGAACGCUGGCGGCAUGCCUAACACAUGCAAGUCGAACGAGACCCCAACUUCGGUUGGACGUCUAGUGGCGCACGGGUGCGUAACGCGUGGGAAUCUGCCCUUCGGUUCGGAAUAACUCGGAGAAAUCCGUGCUAAUACCGGAUAAUGACGUAAGUCCAAAGAUUUAUCGCCGAGGGAUGAGCCCGCGUAGGAUUAGCUUGUUGGUGAGGUAAAGGCUCACCAAGGCGACGAUCCUUAGCUGGUCUGAGAGGAUGAUCAGCCACACUGGAACUGAGACACGGCCCAGACUCCUACGGGAGGCAGCAGUGGGGAAUAUUGGACAAUGGGCGAAAGCCUGAUCCAGCAAUGCCGCGUGAGUGAUGAAGGCCUUAGGGUUGUAAAGCUCUUUUACCCGGGAUGAUAAUGACAGUACCGGAGAAUAAGCUCCGGCUAACUCCGUGCCAGCAGCCGC
This 456-nucleotide ribosomal RNA is filed under the name uncultured soil bacterium. Its description in RNAcentral is "bacterial SSU rRNA". It matches the Rfam family "Bacterial small subunit ribosomal RNA", at positions 26 to 518 of the family's 1533-position model. The record is from RNAcentral.